GACGAACGCUGGCGGCGUGCUUAACACAUGCAAGUCGAACGGAAAGGCCCUGCUUUUGUGGGGUGCUCGAGUGGCGAACGGGGGAGUAACACGUGAGUAACCUGCCCUUGUCUUUGGGAUAACUCUAGGAAACUGGGGCUCAUACCGGAUAGGAUCUCCUGCUGCAUGGUGGGGGUUGGAAAGUUUCGGCGGUUGGGGCUGGUCUCGCUGCUUAUCAGCUUGAUGGUGGGGUAGUGGCUUACCAAGGCUUUGAGGGGUAGCCGGCCUGAGAGGGUGACCGGCCACAUUGGGACUGAGAUACGGCCCAGACUCCUACGGGAGGCAGCAGUGGGGAAUAUUGCACAAUGGGCGGAAGCCUGAUGCAGCAACGCCGCGUGCGGGAUGACGGCCUUCGGGUUGUAAACCGCUUUCGCCGGUGACGAAGCGUGAGUGACGGUAAUGGGUAAAGAAGCACCGGCUAACUACGUG
Molecule: ribosomal RNA, 468 nt
Filed under: uncultured bacterium
Lineage: Bacteria
Description: partial 16S ribosomal RNA
Rfam family: Bacterial small subunit ribosomal RNA
Source: RNAcentral